Molecule: ribosomal RNA, 253 nt
Filed under: uncultured bacterium
Lineage: Bacteria
Description: partial 16S ribosomal RNA
Rfam family: Bacterial small subunit ribosomal RNA
Source: RNAcentral
UACGGAGGGUGCAAGCGUUAUCCGGAUUCACUGGGUUUAAAGGGUGCGUAGGUGGGAAUGUAAGUCAGUGGUGAAAUCUCCGUGCUUAACACGGAAACUGCCAUUGAUACUAUGUUUCUUGAAUUAUCUGGAGGUCAGCGGAAUAUGUCAUGUAGCGGUGAAAUGCUUAGAUAUGACAUAGAACACCAAUUGCGAAGGCAGCUCGCUAAGCCAUAACUGACGCUGAGGCACGAAAGCGUGGGGAGCAAACAGG